CCUACGGGAGUCAGCAGUGGGGAAUAUUGCACAAUGGGGGAAACCCUGAUGCAGCGACGCCGCGUGAGUGAAGAAGUAUCUCGGUACGUAAAGCUCUAUCAGCAGGGAAGCAAAUGACGGUACCUGACUAAGAAGCCCCGGCUAACUAAGUGCCAGCAGCCGCAGUAUUUCGUAGGGGGCAAGCGUUAUCCGGAUUUACUGGGUAUAAAGGGAGCGUAGCCGGCAGCAACAGGCUGGAGGGAAAUCCCGGGGCUUAAAGCGGGAACUGCUUUGGAACCUGGGCGGCGGGCGGGCAGGAGUGGUAAGCGGAAUUCCUAGUGUAGCGGUGAAAUGCGUAGAUAUUAGGAGGAACACCGGUGGCGAAGGCGGCUUACUGGACUGUAACUGACGUUGAGGCUCGAAAGCGUGGGGAGCAAACAGGAUUAGAUACCCCAGUAGUC
This 440-nucleotide ribosomal RNA is filed under the name uncultured bacterium. RNAcentral describes it as "partial 16S ribosomal RNA". It matches the Rfam family "Bacterial small subunit ribosomal RNA", at positions 338 to 795 of the family's 1533-position model. The record is from RNAcentral.